Mandrillus leucophaeus (drill) is the source of this 4128-nucleotide RNA transcript. It is a transcript of the gene named ELOVL fatty acid elongase 7, with no coding region annotated. The transcript has 11 exons. The record is from RefSeq and is a predicted model, not a curated record. NCBI's taxonomy places the organism in Eukaryota, Metazoa, Chordata, Mammalia, Primates, Cercopithecidae.
GCAUUUAAACUUCCCUCUUAGAACUGCUCUUGUGGCAUCCCAUAAGUUUUGAACCCAUUAAAAGAGCCAGUAAAUCCAGUGGAAAAUGGCCUUCAGUGAUCUUACAUCGAGGACUGUGCAUCUUUAUGAUAAUUGGAUCAAAGAUGCUGGUUGAUUCUUACCUAUCACCUAGAAAUUGCAAGUCUAUCAAAUUCAGGAGGGAAAUGCACCACCUCUUGGCACCUACCACAGUUGAAAUUAUAUUCAAAUUUACAAUGAUUUCAGCAAAGAUACCCUGUUUCAUGGUUUGCAGCUUUCUCAGUAGCUGCUAAAAACCAAAUUUAUUUCACUAAAAAUGUUCCCAACAGUUUUUCCUUUGAGGAACGCCAAGGCUCUUUCUUCUUCAUUUCGUUGGUACUUGGUAUCUUAAAGCUGUACUGUUUGAGCCAGUACAUGCUACUUAAGAAGAGAACACUCUCUUAGAAGCUCAUUAAUAUUCUAUGGAAAAGCUCAUUAAUAUUCUAUAUCCAAGAGUUGAAGAUUGGCUCCUCAUGUCCUCGCCUCUGCCGCAAACCAUCCUUCUAGGAUUCUAUGUCUAUUUUGUCACUUCUCUGGGACCAAAGCUCAUGGAAAAUCGCAAGCCCUUUGAACUCAAGAAAGUGAUGAUAACGUACAAUUUUUUAAUAGUACUCUUUUCUGUGUAUAUGUGUUAUGAGUUUGUGAUGUCUGGCUGGGGUAUAGGUUAUUCAUUUCGAUGUGAAAUUGUUGACUAUUCACAGUCACCCACAGCUUUGAGGAUGGCACGUACCUGCUGGCUUUAUUACUUCUCCAAAUUUGUUGAGCUAUUAGAUACGAUCUUUUUUGUUCUGCGCAAGAAAAAUAACCAAGUGACUUUCCUUCAUGUAUUCCAUCAUACCAUCAUGCCGUGGACCUGGUGGUUUGGAGUCAAAUUUGCUGCAGGUGGUUUGGGAACAUUCCAUGCCCUUCUAAAUACAGCUGUACAUGUAGUCAUGUAUUCCUACUACGGACUGUCUGCACUGGGACCAGCCUACCAGAAGUAUUUGUGGUGGAAAAAAUAUUUGACAUCAUUACAGCUUGUCCAGUUUGUUAUUGUCACCAUCCACAUAAGCCAGUUCUUUUUCAUGGAGGAUUGCAAGUAUCAGUUUCCAGUCUUUGCGUGCAUCAUAAUGAGUUACAGUUGCAUGUUUCUGCUGCUCUUUCUCCAUUUUUGGUACCGUGCUUACACCAAAGGUCAGAGGUUGCCCAAAACUGUGAAAAAUGGAACUUGCAAAUACAAAGAUAACUGAAGCCCAACAUAAGUCUAUGAUCGAAACUGAUACAUUGUCUUCCUUGACAAUCAAGAGAUAUUUGCCUAUGCAGUGCAUUUUGUAUAUUUUUCAAAACUAAGAGCUUGUAUUUUUAUGAUAAGUUAUUGGGAUGUCUGAUAUUUGAAAGCCCGAAGCUUCCAGAUAACAGUCUUCUGAUAAUUAGAGCCUACAGCAUCCAGAAGUUGUUUUUUUUUUUUUUAGCUGCUUUUAAAGCUAAUCCAAAGGUUUUGUUUAACACAUUUUGUUACAGUGCAAAAAGAUAUGAAGCAAUACAGUACUCUUCAAGGAAGUCCAGUAAAGAUGAAAAAUAUCAUUAGAUAUUUUGAGCACAGACAGAGAUCCAUGUGUUACAAUAGAUUCCUUCUGCCGGGCCUGGAAAGUCUGGAAACCAACCAUAGGCCCUAGCUUUGUCAUUUAUUGGCUGUAUUCAGAAGAUGCUAUGUUUGCUCUAGAGUUAACUCCCAUUUUAGCAAUCUAGCACAGGUGAAAAUUGAGUGAGUUUUUGAUAACUUGUCAUUCAAAAUCAUUACUGAUAAUUUUCAAUGGAUCUUUUGAGUAGCCAUCACCAGUUUUGCUGAUAAGACUUCCUCACAACCCAUUUGUUGUACAAACUGUUUCAGAGUAACCAUACUUUGGGUUAGUACACUAAUGCACUUGACACCAAGUUUCAUUCAGCUGAUUAUUUUGAAAACAAGGUGAUUUGUUUUAAUGGGUUAAUGAACACUUUGCUAUUACUGUUUUACAAUUAACUUUGUAGAUCUCUGGAAAGAGGUGAAUUUGUCAAUGAAAAAAGUACUGUGUGGUUCAGUGGGAAAAACCUGUUGUCUGUUAUAGUAUCACAUCACUGUCUUACAUUGUCAUGGUUUAAAUUAUUAUCUUGGUUAAAUAUAUAGGUUAGAUACUUAAAUGUUCAUAUCAUGAGCACACUACAGGUACUACCCUUAAAUUAUAAAUAAUAUUACCCAUUGUACACAGUUUCCAGAUAUGGUUUAGAGUGGCUGUGAAGCAACUAGAGGCAAAUUGUGGCACAGAGAAUAUCCAGGGGAAAAUUGAUUAUGUAAGCAAGGGCUGUUCUACUUUGAGAGAGAGACAGACAGACUAUAUAAUAGUUAUAGAUUAUAUAAUUAAUGUUAUAGAUACACUGACCAAUAAAGUAUUUUCUGGAAUUAUGAAUUAAUUAACAACCUGGAUUUCUGUUUCCAGACCUAUAAACCAUGUAAUGAAAGACUGAAAUUCAUUUGGCAUAGGCUUUGUUUCUUUAAAAUUGCUACUUUCUAAAAUUCUGUUAUUUUUACAUUUUCCUGUUAGAGAAUCAAAACUACUAGUCAGUAGAGUUUUGUCCAAGAAAUAACAAUAUUUGGACAUUUGUGAAUUUUUCCCUAUUUUUUUCUUCUUUUAUUUAUAGUCAAUUUUGAAGGACUGUUUAUGUUUGUAGGACUUUAAACAACUAGUACUUAAAGCCCCAGUGAAUGUUGAACACACAGAGAUACUUAUUGUACAACAAUGCCUAAGUUUUACUCAAUACCAUGGCCUUUUAUGUUUACACUUAGCAGAUUCAUAAGGUUAUUUGCCUUUAAGUGAUCUCUUGUGAUUUUACUUGAUUACUGUAUGAGAAGGUAAAGGUUGAUAAAUGGGAGUAAUUAUAUAUAUAACAUUUUUUUUUUUUUUUUCUGAAGCAGAGUUUUACUCUUGUUGACCAGGCUAGAGUGCAAUGGCGCGAUCUUGGCUCACUGCGACCUCGCCUCUCUGGUUCAAGUGAUUCUCCUGCCUCAGCCUCCCAAGUAGCUGGGAUUACAGGCGCCUGCCACCACGCCCAGCUGAUUUUUGUAUUUUUAGUAGAUACAGGGUUGGCCAGGCUGGUCUCGAACUCCUGACCUCAGGUGAUCCUCCCACCUCGCGCUCCCAAAGUGCUGGGAUUACAGGGGUGAGCCACUGCGCCCGGCCAUAAUUUUAUAUUUUUAGAAAAAAAAGAAUAAAGGACAAAAAAGCACAGCUAAAUGAAACUACUGCUCUAAUUUAUUCCACUGGAAAGGUCUCAGGACUCCUUAACUGUUUUCCAGGUUUGGCUCUUCAUAUCUAACCUGUGCUAAAAUGAGAAGGUAUGCUAGGUGCUGUUAUAAAUCACACCAUUUUCAAAGACCCCAAGUAGUAUAGAGACCAAAAUGAGGCAAGAAUAAAGAGAUGAAACAGGAGAGUUUAUUUCUUGCAUACUUUCCGACCUUCAUCAUACAACCUCUCCUAACCUCCCCGUAGUCUUUAAAAUGUUUAACUUGCCUAUGAGCUAACAUGUAAUAAAGCACGUACUCAAUUAUAUGAAUAGAAGUGGAGAGCCAGAAUGCUACAAAAGAAAUCACGGCUGCUAGAAGUAUCCUCCAUAGAAACAUCAACAUGAUUGUGGAUCAAAAUGAUUUUCACUGGAUAUAGAAUUUGUAUGGAGCCAUAUUUACUAAAAGAGUUAUGUUUGGUCACAUAGAGUUCUUUUGGGAUUUCAUCCCACUUUUCAGGACUUAAUUUGUUUGGGUUUGCUUACCUAACCAGCAACAACAACAAAAUAAGCAGUUCCAAAAUCUAGUUUAUUACAUAAAUCUCUAUGAAUCCUUGAGGGCCUAUAUCUAUAUUAUAAAUAAACACAAAUAUAGAUUUUUAAAUAUAUAUGGGACUUUGCCAUUUACAGCCUUAAUUAUAAAAUUAUGAGAUUAUAUUCUCUCCAUUACCCUUUAUUUCUGUUAACUUUUUAAAGACUGGAACAUUCUGUGGAUGUUGUCAAAGUUUGAGUUUGUUUUUCCGUGUACUAUAAUAAAUUUGUGAUAUCGCAUGUAUA